Triticum dicoccoides is the source of this 1032-nucleotide long non-coding RNA. RefSeq lists it as uncharacterized. The record is from RefSeq and is a predicted model, not a curated record. The transcript has 3 exons. NCBI's taxonomy places the organism in Eukaryota, Viridiplantae, Streptophyta, Magnoliopsida, Poales, Poaceae.
ACCCAGUUAUGGAUCCAUCAGGUACAAGCCACUAGCCACCAGGUAAUAGAGAUUUCCCCUCUGAUUUAGUUGGAUUGGGGGAGGCUAGAGAGGCUUGCUUGUUGUUGUGUUUUCUGCGUGAGAGAGCAGAGAGAACUGAGAGAUCACAUGGAUCCAGUGUACAGAUGAGCUUUUGGUGUGGGGGUGGUGGUGGUGGUUGAGGUAGCAGGGAGAGGAUGGUCACUAGAUGGAAGAGUGCAGGGAAUGUUGCUUGCUACUGCUACUGCAUGUGCUAUUGUGUUAUUUUGUAAUAUUUCUGAACUGUUAGCGAUAUUGCCGCAGUGAGAUGAGCUUAUUUUGUAAUAUAUGGUCUUUUCCAGUGCAUUGCAAAACUAACUAAUAGUUUGUGAUCUGACACCCUGGUAACCUCAUGAUUGGGUGGUGCAUGCAGGGCACACCUCCGAGCUAGCCGAUGCUUAGUAUACCAGUGUUCUGCUGCAUCCGGUGCGACCUCAAAGAAUACCUUCGUCUAGCUGGCCGUUGAGCACCUUAGGGACGACGAGGUGCAGUGCCUGGGGUGUAAGCAGUUCAACUACACGAUGAAGUGAGUAAAGGGGUUAAGACGGUUGCGUUGUGCGUGCGCUGCUUGCUUGCUGGUCUAAUUUCUCGGAAACAGUUUCAGUCAAUGCUGGGCCGAAACCUCUUAAACUCAUUAAGUAGCGUUCUUGGAGAGUUGAAAUCUCAUUUCAUUGAUGAUGUAUUGCGCUGCGUGUUGGUUAAGAUGAAGCAAGGAGAAAACCAUUGACGAUGUAUUGUGAUGCAUGUUUCAGUCAACUUGUUGGACAACUGUACACGUAUGUGUUUUUUCAAGCCCACUGAUUUCAGCCUCUCCGUCUCCUUCAAGCCGAUGAGAAGUUCAGGGAUAUUCCUGGGAGUGCCUAUUAUGUGGCUCCGGAGGUGCUGAAGCGGAUAUAUGGAGCCGAUAAUUGCAUAUGGAGUGCUGGAGUUAUACUCUACAUUCUGCUGUCUGGCAUUCCUCCUUUUUGGGCAGCA